UACGAAGGGGGCUAGCGUUAAUCGGAAUUACUGGGCGUAAAGCGUGCGCAGGCGGCUUCGCAAGUCAGACGUGAAAUCCCCGGGCUCAACUUGGGAAUGGCGUUUGAAACUACGAGGCUGGAGUGUGGCAGAGGGAGGUGGAAUUCCACGUGUAGCGGUGAAAUGCGUAGAGAUGUGGAGGAACACCGAUGGCGAAGGCAGCCUCCUGGGCCAACACUGACGCUCAUGCACGAAAGCGUGGGGAGCAAACAGG
RNAcentral lists this ribosomal RNA (253 nucleotides) under uncultured bacterium. Its description in RNAcentral is "partial 16S ribosomal RNA". It matches the Rfam family "Bacterial small subunit ribosomal RNA", at positions 524 to 776 of the family's 1533-position model. The record is from RNAcentral.